UUGCUCUUCAACGAGGAAUGCCUAGUAAGCGUACGUCAUCAGCGUGCGUUGAUUACGUCCCUGCCCUUUGUACACACCGCCCGUCGCUACUACCGAUUGAAUGGCUGAGUGAGGCCUUCGGACUGGCCCAGGGAGGUCGGCAACGACCACCCAGGGCCGGAAAGUUGGUCAAACUCCGUCAUUUAGAGGAAGUAAAAGUCGUAACAAGGUUUCCGUAGGUGAACCUGCGGAAGGAUCAUUAAAGAGUAAGGGUGCUCAGCGCCCGACCUCCAACCCUUUGUUGUUAAAACUACCUUGUUGCUUUGGCGGGACCGCUCGGUCUCGAGCCGCUGGGGAUUCGUCCCAGGCGAGUGCCCGCCAGAGUUAAACCAAACUCUUGUUAUUAAACCGGUCGUCUGAGUUAAAAUUUUGAAUAAAUCAAAACUUUCAACAACGGAUCUCUUGGUUCUGGCAUCGAUGAAGAACGCAGCGAAAUGCGAUAAGUAAUGUGAAUUGCAGAAUUCAGUGAAUCAUCGAAUCUUUGAACGCACAUUGCGCCCUUUGGUAUUCCGAAGGGCAUGCCUGUCCGAGCGUCAUUACACCCCUCAAGCUCUGCUUGGUAUUGGGCCCUCGUCCGCCAGGGACGGGCCUCGAAAUCCUCGGCGGCGGUGCCCGGCUUUGAGCGUAGUAGAACCUCUUUUCUCGCUUUGAAAGCCCGCGGCGCCCGUCUGCCGGACGACCCCCAAUCUUUCUUCAAGGUUGACCUCGGAUCAGGUAGGGAUACCCGCUGAACUUAAGCAUAUCAAUAAGCGGAGGA
Molecule: ribosomal RNA, 796 nt
Filed under: uncultured fungus
Lineage: Eukaryota; Fungi
Description: eukaryotic LSU rRNA
Rfam family: Eukaryotic small subunit ribosomal RNA (bases 1-241)
Source: RNAcentral